RNAcentral lists this ribosomal RNA (468 nucleotides) under uncultured bacterium. Its description in RNAcentral is "partial 16S ribosomal RNA". It matches the Rfam family "Bacterial small subunit ribosomal RNA", at positions 28 to 507 of the family's 1533-position model. The record is from RNAcentral.
GACGAACGCUGGCGGCGUGCUUAACACAUGCAAGUCGAACGGAAAGGCCCUGCUUUUGUUGGGUGCUCGAGUGGCGCACGGGUGAGUAACACGUGAGUAACCUCCCCUUGACUUUGGGAUAACUUCAGGAAACUGGGGCUAAUACCGGGUAGGAGCUCCUGCUGCAUGGUGGGGGUUGGAAAGUUUCGGCGGUUGGGGAUGGACUCGCGGCUUAUCAGCUUGUUGGUGGGGUAGUGGCUUACCAAGGCUUUGACGGGUAGCCGGCAUGAGAGGGUGACCGGGGACAUGGGGACUGAGAGACGGCCCAGACUCCUACGGGAGGCAGCAGUGGGGAAUAUUGCACAAUGGGCGGAAGCGUGAUGCAGCAAUGCCGCGUGCGGGAUGACGGCCUUCGGGUGGUAAACCGCUGUCGCCUGUGACGAAGCGUGAGUGACGGUAAUGGGUAAAGAAGCACCGGCUAACUACGUG